This 715-nucleotide long non-coding RNA is filed under the name Bos taurus (domestic cattle). RNAcentral's name for it is "long non-coding RNA NONBTAT002910". The record is from RNAcentral. Lineage: Eukaryota; Metazoa; Chordata; Mammalia; Artiodactyla; Bovidae.
UAUUAAGCCUUAAAAAACUUGAACAGUUAAACCUUACUCCGAAGGUUGGCACUGGGCCUUUAGAAUAUAUUUGCUGCUUUUUACUGUAUUCUCAAGUAAUUUUUUACAUUAAAAUAUAAAACAGCUUUUAUCACGCGGACAUUAAAUGUUUUCCUGUGAAGCCACGUCAGUGUCUCCCUCGGCUGUGCUCGAGGGGGAUGUUCCAACAGUCCUACUUGGUUCAGGUGAAGAUUGCUGCAACGAGACAGGAUGUUGUUGUAUAUUUCUUUGUUACAAACUGAAGCAGUCCAAACCCCACCCAUAGCAAAUUAAGCAAAGCAUAGUUUAAAAAUGAAUAUCUGGAUAAUAAUGUAUUUAAAAAUUCCAGCUGCUGUUAAUAUGACUCAAAUGUCCGCAGAAACUUAAAUAUUUAGAGACAAUUUUUAUGAAAUACAUUUUCUCAGAAAGUUCCCUAUAAUUCAAGCAAUGCAUUGGGAAUUCUGCCUUUUCAAAAUCACAUGGUAUAUGUAGUUGUUGCGUAUUUUCUAGUUUAAAAAGCAAUUUUAUGUGGUACUGUCUGGUGAUCAACAAUGUAAAAACAGUAUAUAAUGUAUAAUCAGAAGAGCUUAAAUCUGAGCUGCCAUUGGUUUGUAAAAGUGUGUACAUUUAAUAGGCAAAAGAGUUUGAAUGAAUGUGAUAUAUGUGAAGUGAAUAUAUUAUAGUCUAUUUUUUGCCA